This 426-nucleotide ribosomal RNA is filed under the name uncultured bacterium. RNAcentral's name for it is "bacterial SSU rRNA". It matches the Rfam family "Bacterial small subunit ribosomal RNA", at positions 30 to 455 of the family's 1533-position model. The record is from RNAcentral.
AUUGAACGCUGGCGGCAUGCCUUACACAUGCAAGUCGAACGGCAGCACGGGAGCAAUCCUGGUGGCGAGUGGCGAACGGGUGAGUAAUAUAUCGGAACGUGCCCGGUCCGUGGGGAUAACGUAGCGAAAGCUACGCUAAUACCGCAUACGAUCUACGGAUGAAAGCGGGGGGAUCGCAAGACCUCGCGCGAUUGGAGCGGCCGAUAUCAGAUUAGGUAGUUGGUGAGGUAAAGGCUCACCAAGCCGACGAUCUGUAGCUGGUCUGAGAGGACGACCAGCCACACUGGGACUGAGACACGGGCCCAGACUCCUACGGGAGGCAGCAGUGGGGAAUUUUGGACAAUGGACGCAAGUCUGAUCCAGCCAUUCCGCGUGCAGGAUGAAGGCCCUCGGGUUGUAAACUGCUUUGUACGGAACGAAAGGUUU